Molecule: ribosomal RNA, 441 nt
Filed under: uncultured bacterium
Lineage: Bacteria
Description: partial 16S ribosomal RNA
Rfam family: Bacterial small subunit ribosomal RNA
Source: RNAcentral
CCUACGGGAGGCAGCAGUGGGGGAUAUUGCACAAUGGGGGGAACCCUGAUGCAGCGACGCCGCGUGGGUGAAGGAGUGCUUCGGCAUGUAAAGCCCUAUCGGCAGGGAAGAAGCAAGACGGUACCUGACUAAGAAGCCCCGGCUAACUCCGUGCCAGCAGCCGCGGUAAUACGUAGGGGGCGAGCGUUAUCCGGAUGCACUGGGUGGAAAGGGAGCGUAGACGGCCAUGCAAGCCAGGGGUGAAAGCCCGGGGCCCAACCCCGGGACUGCCCGUGGAACUGCAUGGCUGGAGUGCGGGAGGGGCAGGCGGAAUUCUUGGUGUAGCGGUGAAAUGCGUAGAUAUCAGGAGGAACACCGGCGGCGAAGGCGGCCUGCUGGACCGCGACUGACGUUGAGGCUCGAAAGCGUGGGGAGCGAACAGGAUUAGAUACCCUAGUAGUC